UAACCUCAAAUCGGACGUGAUGACCCACUGAAUUUAAGCAUAUUAGUCAGCGGAGGAAAAGAAACUAACCAGUAUUUGCUCAGUAAUGGUAUGUUGUUGGGAGAUGUCAUUCUGUAAAUAUGUGUCUGAUUGGUCUGAAUAAAGCACUGUUGGCCAAUAGGGAAACAAGAUAUGUAAGGCUGGGAACCUAGGAAGAUUCCGGGAAUUGUAGUGAGGAGAGCUCUUGCCAUGCCAUCUCCAGGGAGCAAAAGGCACUCAGGAGUGUAUCCUCAAAAAGAUAAGUUCUUAUAAAAUAUAUACUAGUAAUUACAGGUUAAUAAUCAAGUCAGAACUAGCCGAUAAGAAACCAAGCAAAUGGCCAACAGCUUGUGUGUUACUUAAGGGCUCAGACAACUAGACAGGAACCAGGCAGUGGCAGGAAGACUACACGUUACAGUGAGUGAACAGGAAAGAGCCCAGCAACAAAUCCUGACCACACAGCACGGUUCAGGAACUGCGGCUUGUGGAAGACCCACUUCUGGGUGCCUCUCAUGGGGGACCCAAGACCAUCUGAUGUAGACCCAGCCUGUGGACGGUGUGAGUCCAGCAGCCUGGGUCUUCCCGGAGUGGGGUUGCUUGGGAAUGCAGCCUAAAGUGGUGGUUAAACUCUUUUUAAAGCUAAAUACUGGCACGAGACUAAUAGUCAACAAACCUUAAGGAAAAGUUGAAAAGAAUUUGAACAGAAAGACAAGGGAGGGAGGGGAAGGGGAAGAGAGAGAGAUAAAGACAGAGCACAGGCUUCUCAGUGUACACAUGGCACCUGAGACCACGCCCAGAAGGGACCUGUACCUCAAACGCUAUUGGCUGAAUGAGUUCCCAGAGUACCUGCACUUUUAGCAUGCAAACUUUAUAUAAGUCUCAUUUCACGUUAAGAGAACACAUGCAUUCAUUGAUGAAUUACUUUAUUUGUAACAGCCCCUUGAUACUGCAAGGCAGGAAGUUGGAUGUGAAGGGAAGGAUGGAUGUGGGCAAUCUGUUAGCCCAAGGUAGUGGCGUGGUGGGGAAGAUCAGCCUGAUGCAUCAGGCUUUGGUGUCUCUACAGAAGGUGUCUAGGGAAGGAGAGGAAUGCUUUCUUUAUCCCUGGGGGGACUGGGUUGGGCUAUGUGAAAAAAAAGCGGCUCUCUGAGCAGCUGGGUGACUCUCCUUCGCAAGAUUUCUUGAUACCCAUGAGGUACUUCCAACUGUAGCUCUUCUGGUGCUGGGCUAAACAUUCAGCCAGAAGUCUAUCACAGUGGCACAACUGUUGCCCACAGAAGUCCUGGUUUACUGAAAUUAGGAAAAACAGAGACUGAGCUGAGGGUUGCUAAUAUCCCAUGACUGCUGGCGGGGACCUGCCUGUUCUGAGAUGAGGAAGACCGACCCUCAUCUGAUGGUCACACAGCCACCAAACAUGGCACUGCCAGAGGUUUGCCUAGCUUCCUAGACAACCUCUUCUAGUUUUUCAUUGUUUUGUUUUUGUUUUUAAAGACAAGGUCUCAUGUAGCUCAGGCUGGCCUUGAACUCUAUGCAGGUGAUGAUGGCCUCGAACUUCUAAUCUUCCUGUCUCCACAUCCUGAGUCCUGGGAUUCCAGGCAUGCUAAAUCAUGCCCAAUGUAUACAGUGCUAGGGAUGGAACCCAGGCAAUCUUGUGUGCUAGGCUAGUACUCUGCCAACUGAGCUAUAUUUCUGAACCCCCCCCCCCACUGUUGCUAACAGACCUGCUUGUAUGAGGAAGCCCAGCCUCACUGGCCUCGGAAUGGAUGGACCUGGUGAAAACCGGCGUGGUCCACCCUUUCUCCUCGGCAGGCAUUGAUCUUAAGGUAGUAUGCAGCUGUAUUCUGAAUACAGUGCAAAAAGAGGAGGUCCACAGGGGUUGCUGGGCAGUGUUCAUUGCCCUCUCCAAAGAGUCUCAGUGAGAGAAAGCUGCCUGUGGUUGUAUGCCAGGAGGGCUCUUGGAGCUAUAGUGGGUCUUACAGUAUAAGCACAGAUGUUGGCAACAGCCCGGAGCUGAGGACACCUGAUCCUGGGCAUAGAAGUUGCCCAGACUUGGCACCACACAGGGCUAGAAUUCUCACAGGUUGUGAUGUUUCCAAUCUGACCAUGGCCCUUUU
Molecule: non-coding RNA, 2129 nt
Organism: Mesocricetus auratus (golden hamster)
Lineage: Eukaryota; Metazoa; Chordata; Mammalia; Rodentia; Cricetidae
Source: Rfam